Molecule: ribosomal RNA, 637 nt
Filed under: uncultured archaeon
Lineage: Archaea
Description: bacterial SSU rRNA
Rfam family: Archaeal small subunit ribosomal RNA
Source: RNAcentral
GCCGAUCAGGCUGUGGGUGAGGUAAUGGCCCACCAAACCUGUAACCGGUACGGGCUCUGAGAGGAGGAGCCCGGAGAUGGGCACUGAGACAAGGGCCCAGGCCCUAUGGGGCGCAGCAGGCGCGAAACCUCUGCAAUAGGCGAAAGCUUGACAGGGUUACUCUGAGUGAUUUCCGUUAAGGAGAUCUUUUGGCACCUCUAAAAAUGGUGCAGAAUAAGGGGUGGGCAAGUCUGGUGUCAGCCGCCGCGGUAAUACCAGCACCCCGAGUGGUCGGGACGUUUAUUGGGCCUAAAGCAUCCGUAGCCGGUUCUACAAGUCUUCCGUUAAAUCCACCUGCUCAACAGAUGGGCUGCGGAAGAUACUAUGGAGCUAGGAGGCGGGAGAGGCAAGCGGUACUCGAUGGGUAGGGGUAAAAUCCGUUGAUCCAUUGAAGACCACCAGUGGCGAAGGCGGCUUGCCAGAACGCGCUCGACGGUGAGGGAUGAAAGCUGGGGGAGCAAACCGGAUUAGAUACCCGGGUAGUCCCAGCUGUAAACGAUGCAGACUCGGUGAUGAGUUGGCUUUAUGCCAACUCAGUGCCGCAGGGAAGUCGUUAAGUUUGCCGCCUGGGGAGUACGGUCGCAAGACUGAAACUUAA